CGACCGCUGGCGGCGUGCUUAACACAUGCCAGUCGAACGGCAAGGCCCUGCUUUUGUGGGGUGCUCGAGUGGCGAACGGGUGAGUAACACGUGAGUAACCUGCCCUUGACUUUGGGAUAACUUCAGGAAACUGGGGCUAAUACCGGAUAGGAGCUCCUGCUGCAUGGUGGGGGUUGGAAAGUUUCGGCGGUUGGGGAUGGACUCGCGGCUUAUCAGCUUGUUGGUGGGGUAGUGGCUUACCAAGGCUUUGACGGGUAGCCGGCCUGAGAGGGUGACCGGCCACAUUGGGACUGAGAUACGGCCCAGACUCCUACGGGAGGCAGCAGUGGGGAAUAUUGCACAAUGGGCGGAAGCCUGAUGCAGCAACGCCGCGUGCGGGAUGACGGCCUUCGGGUUGUAAACCGCUUUCGCCUGUGACGAAGCGUGAGUGACGGUAAUGGGUAAAGAAGCACCGGCUAACUACGUG
Molecule: ribosomal RNA, 466 nt
Filed under: uncultured bacterium
Lineage: Bacteria
Description: partial 16S ribosomal RNA
Rfam family: Bacterial small subunit ribosomal RNA
Source: RNAcentral